GCCAACGUAGCGCAGUCGGUAGCGCAACUGAUUCGUAAUCAGUAGGUCACGAGUUCGAGUCUCGUCGUUGGCU
Molecule: transfer RNA, 73 nt
Filed under: Lachnospiraceae bacterium
Lineage: Bacteria; Bacillati; Bacillota; Clostridia; Lachnospirales; Lachnospiraceae
Also listed under: 1 other name
Description: tRNA-Thr
Rfam family: tRNA
About the family: Transfer RNA (tRNA) molecules are approximately 80 nucleotides in length. Their secondary structure includes four short double-helical elements and three loops (D, anti-codon, and T loops). Further hydrogen bonds mediate the characteristic L-shaped molecular structure. tRNAs have two regions of fundamental functional importance: the anti-codon, which is responsible for specific mRNA codon recognition, and the 3' end, to which the tRNAs corresponding amino acid is attached (by aminoacyl-tRNA synthetases). tRNAs cope with the degeneracy of the genetic code in two manners: having more than one tRNA (with a specific anti-codon) for a particular amino acid; and 'wobble' base-pairing, i.e. permitting non-standard base-pairing at the 3rd anti-codon position.
Source: RNAcentral